Molecule: long non-coding RNA, 919 nt
Organism: Bos taurus (domestic cattle)
Lineage: Eukaryota; Metazoa; Chordata; Mammalia; Artiodactyla; Bovidae
Source: Ensembl
ACUCGCAGCAGCGCACCCCUCCUCUUGCUGACGCCCCAGGGCCCGGGAGAGACCGGCGACGGGGAGCGCAGGCGACGCCCGGCGCCGGGAUGCUCCAGCGUGCCUCCGGGUGCGCGGGGUGCGCAGGGGGGCCCCGGCGCCCUGCGCGGUCAGCGGUGGUGGGCAGGGGUGCCUGGCGUGCUCCGGUCGCCCGGCGCCCGCGCUACCUCGGGGAGACCUCUGCCGCCGCCCGAGCGCGCAUCCCGGCCCGGGGGCGCUCCCUGCCGGCCGCCGCGCGCACCAGCCAGGCUGAGCCCCGGCAGCAGAGCUGCGGGCGCCUCUGUCCCCCCACCCCCAGGGCGGGCCAGGCCUCCGGUGCUGCGGCUCCAUCACCCACGCCCUCGGGGCUGAGCUGCCUCACUGCGCAGGCGCGGAGGUGCGCACCUGCUCCUUUGAGACGCUCACCUGUCCUUGUUCUUACCGGCAGGAGGGGCUGGAAGGUCUAGGACCCUUAACCAGGCUGGAGAGCUUCUAGAGGCGCAGAAAGAAGCUCAGAGUCCCAGUGGAGGCAGCUGCAGGAGUUUGCUGGAAACAUCUGGAAGGAUAUCUGGUGUGAUGGGGAGGGACAGGCCCGCCAUAAAACAUAUCCACCCCGCCGGGGCUCCUCCGAGCCAGACAAAUCGCCCACGCUCUGGGGGAUGAUAACUCUGCCACCAAUCUUCCCUCCUGUCAGCACAAAACUGUUCAAUCAACAGGAGUGUGAGCUGUGUCUUUUGUGAAAUUAGCACAGGAGGAAAUACAACCUGGGCUGGGGACUGGGGCCGUGGGUGCAGGAAGGGGCCAAACCACUGUGGGCGAUGACCUUGAACACACGCCUUGCCUGCCGGCUUCUCGGCCUGAGUCUGGGUCUUAGGAGGGCACAUCCGUGAGACGGCAAGCA